AUUGAACGCUGGCGGAAUGCUUUACACAUGCAAGUCGAACGGUAGAGGGGGCAACCCCUUGAGAGUGGCGAACGGGUGAGUAAUAUAUCGGAACGUGCCCAGUCGUGGGGAUAACGUAGCGAAAGUUACGCUAAUACCGCAUACGAUCUAAGGAUGAAAGCGGGGGAUCGCAAGACCUCGCGCGAUUGGAGCGGCCGAUAUCAGAUUAGGUAGUUGGUGAGGUAAAGGCUCACCAAGCCAACGAUCUGUAGCUGGUCUGAGAGGACGACCAGCCACACUGGAACUGAGACACGGUCCAGACUCCUACGGGAGGCAGCAGUGGGGAAUUUUGGACAAUGGACGCAAGUCUGAUCCAGCCAUUCCGCGUGCAGGAUGAAGGCCCUCGGUUGUAAACUGCUUUUGUACGGAACGAAAAGGUUUCUAUUAAUACUAGGAGCUCAUGACGGUACCGUAAGAAUAAGCACCGGCUAACUAACGUGCCAGCAGCCGCGGU
Molecule: ribosomal RNA, 493 nt
Filed under: uncultured bacterium
Lineage: Bacteria
Description: bacterial SSU rRNA
Rfam family: Bacterial small subunit ribosomal RNA
Source: RNAcentral